AAAAUCAAAUUUCCAUUUCUUCCCCCUUUUCUAACUUAUAAGAUCUCAAGAAGAUCCAGCGUCAUCGGCUCGCCAAACCCCGGCCUCAGUACUUCUCUCACUUCCAUUUCUGAUCCUUUUUUUAUUUUAUUUUUCUCCUGUUGAUUUGUUGGAUUCUUGAAGUUUCUGAAAAAUAAUUAGAAUAAAACAGGAAUGUCAAGCGAGUGGACAGGAUGAGGUACCUGCAAAUGCACGGGCAGGGCCUUCAUCAGGGAGGAAGCCACGGAACCCCUGCAGGUUCAGGCCAGGGACUGUGGCUCUUCGGGAGAUAAGGAAGUAUCAGAAGUCCUGUGAGCUGUUGGUACCUGCAGCUCCUUUCAUUCGAUGCUAUGGUGUAGGAGGAUAGACAAGCUUGUUGAUGGCUAGGUUUUGGAAGCCUUUGGAGUAGAUCCCAUCAAGGGGUUUACAGAUUUUCUGGUGGUGGAAAAUGCAAAAAUCUAGGCAAAAACGGAGGCAGCCAUGAUACGAUUGGAUAUGAGUGAAUAUAUGGAGCGGCAAAGAAAGUAGUUGUCCUACUAGCUAGAUGCUUUUAGCCAUGGUCCAUGCAAAGCAGGACCAGAUUAGGUGGAUGGUCCCAAUCUAGGGUCUCUCUUCUACAUUUGCAGAGGUGGAAUCAACUGCCAUUCAUAGGCAAUUUUAUAGAGAGUGGCAGAUCCGUGUAGCAAAUGGAGAACCUCUUCCCUUGACUCAGUUACAAGUGCCUUUAUAAGGUAAUUGCUAUCAAAUAAGCAAUACUUGACAUCAGACAUGAGCUAGAAAAGUAUGCUGCAUGAUAUGUUAAUUUGAAUCAAUUAACCAUUCCUCACUAGAAUUGUUCGGAAUUCCGCAUCAACUUUUAUUUCACUUUUGUCAGAUAUGACUUGGCUUCGAGCAUUGUCAAACCUGAUU
Magnolia sinica is the source of this 927-nucleotide long non-coding RNA. RefSeq lists it as uncharacterized. The record is from RefSeq and is a predicted model, not a curated record. Lineage: Eukaryota; Viridiplantae; Streptophyta; Magnoliopsida; Magnoliales; Magnoliaceae. The transcript has 6 exons.